AUGACGGACGACCAACGCCGGGUUCCCCAGCCCUCGCCGGAGCCGGAGGACUACGUCGACUACGCAGCGGCGGUGCUCUGUGCCGCCGAAGGCUGCGACCACUGCGGCUGUGAGGGUGGGCCCUUUCUUGUGGCCUUCGUAUCCACCGACAAGGGGAAGGGGGUGACCUCCGCCCGCCUGUACUCCUCGGAGACCGGCGCGUGGAACGAGACCACCUCUCUUCAUCACCCCGAGGCCAAUGCCCACUUUGCGGCUAGCGUCCAUGUGGGAGACGCGCUCUACUUCCGCGGCAUCGGGAAUUACACCAUCGAGUACCAACUUACUACAGCCCGCUUGUCCGUGUUGGAGGCGCUGGCCAAGUGUAAUGGGAGGCUCGUGACAAUGGAGGACGGUGGCCUGGGAUUUGCCGCUGUGGAUAACACGAUCAUAACCCUGUGGGCAAGGGAGACUGGCCCUGAGGGCGCAGAGACAUGGACGCAACGCAGGGUAAUCGAUCUCAAGACGCUGCUUUCUGAAGAUGCCCUCUCACACUCAAUUAACGGAAUCAAAUACUAUAGUUGGAUUCCCGUUGUAUCUGUGGUCGGCUUUGCUGAGGGCACUGAUGCCAUUUUUGUUGGCACCAUUGCUUGCGUCUACAUGAUUGAACUCAAGUCAGGCCGAGUCACCAAGGUGCUCGAUGAAUUUGGGAGAGUCUGCCCCUACAUGGGCUUCUACAUUCCAGACAUGGAAGUAGCUUCUACAGCUGAGGGGCCAAAAGAGGGUGUUUUAAAUCUAUGA
Molecule: ribosomal RNA, 777 nt
Filed under: Triticum aestivum (bread wheat)
Lineage: Eukaryota; Viridiplantae; Streptophyta; Magnoliopsida; Poales; Poaceae
Description: partial small subunit ribosomal RNA
Source: RNAcentral